RNAcentral lists this ribosomal RNA (444 nucleotides) under Veillonella parvula. RNAcentral's name for it is "bacterial SSU rRNA". It matches the Rfam family "Bacterial small subunit ribosomal RNA", at positions 28 to 449 of the family's 1533-position model. Lineage: Bacteria; Bacillati; Bacillota; Negativicutes; Veillonellales; Veillonellaceae. The record is from RNAcentral.
GACGAACGCUGGCGGCGUGCUUAACACAUGCAAGUCGAACGAAGAGCGACGGAAGCUUGCUUCUAUCAAUCUUAGUGGCGAACGGGUGAGUAACGCGUAAUCAACCUGCCCUUCAGAGGGGGACAACAGUUGGAAACGACUGCUAAUACCGCAUACGAUCUAAUCUCGGCAUCGAGGAUAGAUGAAAGGUGGCCUCUACAUGUAAGCUAUCACUGAAGGAGGGGAUUGCGUCUGAUUAGCUAGUUGGAGGGGUAACGGCCCACCAAGGCGAUGAUCAGUAGCCGGUUGAGAGGAUGAACGGCCACAUUGGGACUGAGACACGGCCCAGACUCCUACGGGAGGCAGCAGUGGGGAAUCUUCCGCAAUGGACGAAAGUCUGACGGAGCAACGCCGCGUGAGUGAUGACGGCCUUCGGGUUGUAAAGCUCUGUUAAUUCGGGACGAA